CCACGCCCACAGGCCCGCUUCCCUCUUUCCCGGAAGCCCUCGUUGCUAACCGAGGGCGGCUUUGGCUGAGCGCCCUUUUUGUGGCCGGAGGAACCGAAGGCAUCAGAGGUACGUUGCGCCAAUAGUUGGUCUUCAGAUACAUUCUGUUGAGGAUGCUGGCUUCUGGCUUCAGAGAGAGUGAAAGGAAGGGGGCGAAAGAGAAACGUUAAUGUGAGAGAGAUUGUUGCCUCCCACACAUGCCCCCACCAAAACCAGGGAUGGAGCCACAACUAAGGAAAUACCCUUGAUGGGAAUCAAACCUGCAGCCCUUCAGUCUGCGGGCCAACACUCUAACCACUGAGCAAAACCGGAUAAAGCUCUGACAUUUUUAAGUAAAGGAGAAUAUUUGGUCUAGAUUUCAAGGUAAUUGUCAGCAACACAGCAGUAAAUAUCAACACGAA
Long non-coding RNA from Myotis brandtii (Brandt's bat), 440 nucleotides. RefSeq lists it as uncharacterized. The transcript is spliced from 4 exons. Lineage: Eukaryota; Metazoa; Chordata; Mammalia; Chiroptera; Vespertilionidae. The record is from RefSeq and is a predicted model, not a curated record.